GAUGAACGCUGGCGGCGUGCCUAAUACAUGCAAGUCGAGCGAACGGACGCGAAGCUUGCUUCUCUGAUGUUAGCGGCGGACGGGUGAGUAACACGUGGAUAACCUACCUAUAUGACUGGGAUCACUUCGGGACACCGGCGCUAAUACCGGAUAAUAUUUUGAACCGCAUGGUUCAAAAGUGAAAGACGGUCUUGCUGUCACUUAUAGCUGGAUCCGCGCUGCAUUAGCUAGUUGGUAAGGUAACGGGUUACCAAGGCAACGAUGCAUAGCCGACCUGUGAGGGUGAUAGGCCACCCUGGAACUGAGACACGGUCCAGAGUACUAAGGGAGGGAGCAGAAGGGAAUCUUCCGCAGUGGGCGAAAGCCUGACGGAGCAAGCCCGCGUGAGUGAUGGAGGUGUUCGGAUCGUAAAACUCUGUUAUUAGGGAAGAACAUAUGUGUAAGGAACUGUGCACAGCGUGACGGUAACUAAUAAGAAAGCAACGGCUAACUACGUG
RNAcentral lists this ribosomal RNA (497 nucleotides) under uncultured bacterium. RNAcentral's name for it is "partial 16S ribosomal RNA". It matches the Rfam family "Bacterial small subunit ribosomal RNA", at positions 28 to 507 of the family's 1533-position model. The record is from RNAcentral.